CCAAGAUGCUGUCUCACAGGAAGCCCAGGGAAGUGAGGGGCAGGGGAGGAAGCAGAUCCGGCUUUUGGUUUCUCGUAAGUCUUUUGAAUGUGAGGCAUUUAGCACGUCUUCUGUUCAGCUGCCGGUCGCAGUCGCAGAGUAACAGGAAAACUUAUUCCACCCUCCCCUUUCCCAGUUUUGUCUGCCGUAGGUUGUCUGGAGCAGGAAGGGUGGAGCUUGGAGGAGCUGCCUGGUGGUCCCAGGGGAGCUGCUGGCAGAAGGACCGUAGGCAGCAGGCAGCACUGGCCCCGGGGUCCUGGCUGACGCUUGGAAGCUGGACAGGGAGCGCAGCACUGCGAGCAGUAGCUCCUGGCUUUCCAGACCAUGACCCCCCUGUUCCGGUGUCCUCGUGGUGGGCAGCGGCUGCCGUGCCCCGGCAAGGCCAGGCAGAGGCCCCCAGCACCCUGCUCUCUGCUAGUCUCUGUGGACUCACAGGCUGUGGCAGGUCCAGACUUCAGCCUGGAGCGGUGGGGAGCGGUCUGAAACCAUGGGGACCACCUAGAAGGCACAGAAGCUUUGGCAGGUUAAGCGCGAGCUAGUGGCACACUAGCAUGGCAUCGGGAGAGACACAGAGAAGACAGAUUCCAGGAUCGAAAAGAUUCUAGAACCCAUCAAGUCCAGCAGUCCCCAAAGCUGGUCUCCGCACGGGGAGACACUGCCAUUGUCAAAUGACCCACAGAAGGAAGUGGCUGGAGGCAGAGGAGGGGACUUGCAGAAAUGGAUUUCUGGUCUCCAGGUUUAGGAACCACUGCGAAUGCAGCCCUCUCCCGAUCUCCUGUCAGGUGAAGCCCGGAACAGGUGUGUGUGACUUUGCCAACAUCUGUGACUGUUUAGUGACAGAACUAGAAUACACAUUCUCCCAAAUUAUUAAUCCAUUAUUCCUUCUAGUACAGCGCAGAAACAAUGUACCGCAACCGUGCUUGGGGGAGGAGGAGGGAUGUUAUGCUAACAUCAUAAUAAGAGCUAAAGCAGCAAGCAAAACCUCAAGGUAAAAAGGAAAAGGGGCAGUGGGGGAAGAGGAGGUCCAAGGCAGAUCACAGGGCACUGUUCCUAUGCAAACCUGAAAGCAUACAGAGGCCAGGAAUGCACACAGAUCACACUAACUCAAUCCAGAUCUGGGAACUUAUUGCCCUGAAUAUGUAUGUUUAUAGCCCCUGCUUCCUCCUCCCUCCCCUGCAAGGCUUGGGCUGGUCCUGGUGUGUGAGGUUAGAGAAAUUCAAUGGGAAGGUUUAGACACCCAGAGCCAAGAUCAUUACAACUCUUGUGCUCCCAGCACAGAAGUGAGGGGAGGAAUGUAUGAUGCAGUUGUGUUUUGUGUUUAAGAAAGAAGAGAAAAAAAAAAAAAAAAAGCCUGUGUGGUCCUGAGUGGAAGAACAUUUUAGGUCAAAUAUUAGGAAAAACUUGCUAACACUAGAGCCAUUCCUCUGAGGAUCUGGGAACUUCCUUUCCUGCCAUAUUCCGAUCAUGACUUUUUUUUCCCUCACAGCAGUGCAGCAACAAGGCAGAAACUACCAUUUGCAGGACAAAUUCAGGUCAAUCUUUGGGAUGUCUGUCUUGCUUCUGCGCUUUAAGAAAUUUGUUCAGUCACUGUAGCAGGCCAGCAGCCUGACCGGCCUUUCCCCCAGUUUUAGUUAGCCCCAAGCAUCACUGCUAAUCAGGAAUGGGAUCCUCGUUUAACCCUUCAGAGGGUGCCAGGGCAAAGUCCUCAGUGUAUUCAUGAGUCAAGGAACAGCAUCUCUGGCGUGGAGAUGUCUGGCAGGCUGGAAUUUCUGGAUGGCUUUUCCCACCGUAGGGAUUCAAGCAAACCAUUGUCAUUUUCCCCUUCUAGCAGGAGAAAGAAAAAUCCCAGCCCCUUAGAGCAUAUUCGUUCUGGCUCAAGCACAUGGGUUUUCUUUCCUGGAAACAGGGACUGGCUCAGUGAGACGCCCCCAGAGUUGUGCUUUGUGUUGCCAAGACGCCCGUUCUGGCAAGCUACAGAGGAAAGAGGCUGCUGGAGAGAAGGAGUCUCGAUGCCCCCCAGAAGGACACAAAACCUUCAUUAUUUAAUAGUUCUUCAGCAUCCGAGAAAUUUUAUCCCAAGGAAAAGGCUUCGAUAACUUCAUUAAUAGGAGUAUUUUAAGAAUUGGAAGUAGAAAUCAGAUCACAUUAAAUGGUGCAUUUCUUUUUUUUUUUUUUAUGUUUUUUUAUUAUAUCAUGUUAGUCACCAUACAGUACAUCCCCGGUUUCCGAUGUAAAGUUCGAUGAUUCAUUAGUUGUGUAUAACACCCAGUUAAAUGGUGCAUUUCUAAGCCAAGCACAAGCUAAGUUGCCUACCGAGCUAAAGAGCGCAACAAGCGGGUUGUGGAUCCGCACGGCUGUGUGUCUGUAACUGGCAGCACGUGGACUGGGUGAGCCAAUUUCCCAGUCCCCCAGCCCAAGGCCUCACAGGCGCCCCAGCACCGGGACACUCCGAAGGCUCUUCUGUAAAGCCCCACCAUGACAGCAGUGCCUGAGGCAAAAGCGACAUUGACUCAGGGGAGAGGCCAGACCACGGUGUGACACAGAACUCAGUCUCUUCAACAAUCACUUCAUCUCCACGGUUUCUGCUAGGAGCCUUCAUUGGCUGCACGACCACCUAGGGUAGCAGUUCUCUGAGGGUGGGCUGCAGACCCUUGGGAAGUCCAACCCUAUUGCAGAUGGCCCAUGAGUCAAAGCCAUUUUCAUGAUAAUAUAAAGAUGCUCUUUGGCUCUCUUCACCGUACUGACAUUUGCACUGAUGACAUAAAUGCCAUGGGGGAGAAAAGCACCAGUGCCUUAGCAUGAAUCAAGGCAAUGGCGCCAAACCGUUCCAGUGGGCACUGAUUCUUCACUGCCUCACACCUGCAGUCUGAAGACACCCCUGCUCGUUUCCUUUAAAAAUGUCCUUGGGGAACCAUAGGAAAUACUCAUUUUAUUAAAUCUCGACCUUUAGGUACCAGUCUUUUUAACGGUCCAUGUCAUGAAAUGGGAAAUACCCUGGAAAACUCUGCUGUAUUCCAAAGUACCAUGUUUGUCUCGAGGAAAAGCAGUGGUGCAAUUGUUUGAGUUACCAGCUAAACUAGCUGCUUUUCGAGCAGCACUACCUCUACCUGAAAGAAUGGCCGAGAGACAAAUGACAGUUAUUCAGACUUGGAUAUUUGGCAGACAUUUUCUCAAAAGUUGGCAAGUGAGCCCAUCACUUCAAAGAAAAUAACUGACAGUAUUUGCUGCCAGUGGUAGAAAUGAAGACUUCAAGCAAAAACUGGAACUUUGGAAAACUUGUAUCAGCUCCCGCGAGCCUCACAGCUUUACCACUAUUUAAAGACUUUACUGAUGAUAUCAAUGGUGAUCUUGACAAAUGCAACGUUUGAUACUGUAUGAGUAAUGUCUCAACAUUGGGAAGGUCUGCAUAACUCAGUGAAUCAACAUUUUCCAAAUGACCAAUGCCCGAUGCUACAAAAUUAUGCACGGGUAAAGAUCACUUCAAAACAGAAGACGGACCAAUGGAUUCUAACGCAAUCGAGAUGAAACUGUUAUGCAUUUGAUCUCAGGUUCCACACUGCAACUAACUUUAAAAAAACCACCACUCGUGCAGUUUUGGUGUAUAGUAUCAAAGAAAACGCACGGCUUUCUGAAAAGGCUCAUAAAAUACCCCCCUCUUUUCCAAUGAUAUAUCUGUGUGAAGUCAGAUUUUCUUUGUGUACUUCAACCAAAACAGCACAUCACAACAGAUUGAAUGCAGAAGCAGAGAGAAUCCAGCUGUCUUCUAUUAAGCCAGAUGUUAAAGAGAUUUGCAAAAAUGUAAAGCAAUGUCACUCUUCUCACUGUUUUGUUUGGGAAAAUAUAGUUAUUUUUCAUGAAAAUAUAUUUCUUAUGUUAGCAUGAAAUGGGCUAAUCAAUGUUAUUUUUAAAUUAAUUAAACACCUUAAAUUUCUCAGUUUUAAUUUUUAGUGUUAAAUAUCGAUAGAUAUAACCUAAACAGAUAAAAGCACUUUAUGAUCUUCAAUCAUUUUUAAGAACAUAAAGGGAUCCUGGGUCUAAAAAGUUGAGAACUGAUGAUGUACUGAAACUUCCCGAAAUAAAGCCAUUCAAACUAGAAAGCA
RNAcentral lists this long non-coding RNA (4139 nucleotides) under Ursus maritimus (polar bear). Its description in RNAcentral is "lncRNA (ENSUMAG00000011449.1)". Lineage: Eukaryota; Metazoa; Chordata; Mammalia; Carnivora; Ursidae. The record is from RNAcentral.